UACCAACCCAAAGUAUAAGCGUCCACCUACUCCUAUCUAGUUCGAAAAAUGCGAACUAGAACUACAUGAGACACUAUCUCUGUCGUUACGAACCUAACACUUUCUACCAAGCUUAAUCGGAAUAAGACCUCACAAACACUCACAAGUGAUAUAGGGCUUGAAAGAAAGUCUAGGUUU
Molecule: small RNA, 177 nt
Filed under: Arabidopsis thaliana (thale cress)
Lineage: Eukaryota; Viridiplantae; Streptophyta; Magnoliopsida; Brassicales; Brassicaceae
Description: ATSL041340
Source: RNAcentral